CUUCCAUUUAAUAAUUGUAAAUAUAUUGCUGUUUCUCCAUUUUUUUAUUUUUUCAACAGUGUCAAUUUUUUAUCUUUUAAAAAGUUCUUUUUUUUUAUAUUUUUACAAAACACUCAUAAAAAAAAAACUGCUUUUUUUUAUGCACAAAAAUGAAAAUCUAAGUAUACACAGUAGACCAAAUGAUUCUCUUGUUAUGUGUCAAAAAAAAAAAGAAAUAAUAACACUACUUGUUGAUACGUUAAUAUUGUUAAAUCAGUUGCCAGAUGGGCUGUCAAGUGGACUGUCAAGUGGACUGUCAAGUGGAAUGUCAAGUGGACUGUCAAGUGGAAUGUCAAGUGGAAUGUCAAGUGGACUGUCAAGUGGAAUGUCAAGUGGACUGUCAAGUGGAGUGUUAAGUGGCACAUCGAACGAGCUACCAAGUGACAACAUAACAAACGAAUUAGACAUAAAUGAAAUUUAUAAAAAUUAUGAAAUCGUUCUAAAUAAAUUACAAAAUGCUACAUAUUUAACCAAAAUUAUAAAAAAGCAGUUAGAGUCAGAAUUAGAAAAAAAAAAUGAAAAUUUAGGUAAUAUAAAAGAGCAAGAAAAAAAUGUUAAUACAAAAACGGAAGAACUAAAAGAACUUAAACAUCCCAUUAACAUUAAUGUAUGUUCUAUAAAUCAGUCUAAUAAUAAACAAAUUUAUGAAAGAAUAGUAACAGAACAUAAAAAUAAUAUUAUGGAAAAAAAACAGAACCCCAAUUUAAACUAUCAUAUUUAUUUUUGUGAAAACAAGGAAUUCGAAAACUGUGAUGACAACUCUUGGAAAGAAAACAAAAAUAUAUACAAAAAAAGAUAUUAUAAAAAUGGAAUAAUUAAUAAUGUGAGCGAGAAUGGUAGUGAGCACAAGGCACAAUUAGGAAGAGAUAAAAAUUUUAAUGAUACACAAAAUAGUAGUAAUAAUAAUGCCAGUAGUCAUCUUAGUAAUAAUAACUACAAUAGUAGUACUGUUGAUUGUGCUGCUAACAACCACCAAUAUCUAUGUGUCCAAAAUUUAAUAACAGAAUUAAAAAGUACUUUUAAAAAAAAAAAAAAUUACAUUUAUAUUAACAAAAAAUUAUUUUAUGACAAAAAAAAAAAAGAUUUUUGCAUCGAUGAUAUAUCACCAACAGAUAUUCUCUUACUAAAAGAAAAAGUAAGUAAUGUAGAAAAGUGUACAUCCGAAAAAAAGCAAACAAAAUUAAACCACACAAAUGUAUAUGUUCAAUCAGAAACACUACACGACAAUCAAACAAUUAUGGCAAAUAAAAACUAUGUUACUGCUAAUAACUAUUA
Molecule: long non-coding RNA, 1314 nt
Filed under: Piliocolobus tephrosceles (Ugandan red Colobus)
Lineage: Eukaryota; Metazoa; Chordata; Mammalia; Primates; Cercopithecidae
Description: lncRNA (ENSPTEG00000015122.1)
Source: RNAcentral